CUCUUGAUGAUCCUGUGGGGUCUACUGCCCUCUGCAGGACACACAGGAAAUAAAUGCAGCAUAUCACAGUAUGGCACUAUAUUCUAGCUAACAUUAUUUAUCCUGAAAUUGUCACUGGAGGUAGCUACUACAACGGCAUUAUGUAAAAGUUUUGGGUUUUAGGUUUAAAACUUGUUUUUUUAGAGCUGAUUCCUUUUUGGGGUGUUCCACACGUAUGGCUGAGUGGAGCCACCUUACAGAGGCAAACACAAGGCCUCUUUCAGGCAUAGCGGCUCCAGAGGCAUAUGAGGGCACUCAGUGUUCCACCCCAACCACAGGAUUUAUUUACCUUCCAGUGAGGGGCAGCCAGUAAGAGGAGAUGGAGUGUGCUUUGAGAAAGUUAUUACCUGUCCAAAUCACCAAGAAGACUGAGGUGGGACAGGGGAUGUUUAAGGAAGGAGGAACAUGGAUGAGAGCCAGAAAAGAACGAGGACAUGUGGAUGUUGGGAGACCGCUAUGAACAACCUCUCUAUGGACUCUAUUUCUACGUUUAUGUUAAUGCCCUGUAAGCUCAUUGAUUUCAAUCACCUGUCCUAAACACUCAAAUUAAAAGAUUGCAUCUGUGUUAUGUGUGGCUCUCCCUCCUCUGAUGUCUUCCUGUGAGCCAACACCUCACUAAAAUAUGUGCGUGUUUCCCUUUAGCUCUGCACCAACACAUAAACACAACUCAUUAUGCCAAGUAGGAAGUUUGAAUCCACAUAUAUACAAUUCCAUGUCCAUGUUUUGUUUUCCUUUUUUGAAUGAAGAUGUGGUAUAUUAUUUUUAGAGCUCCUUUUCUUGGACCCCACUGAGGAAAAAUCAUGAAAUCAGUAAAAACACAAGAUGCUGAGUACCAAGUUAUGAACAGCCCAGUUCCCGUGUCCACAGAUUUGAAUGCUGCUUGUUUGUAUUUUUUCAGUUGAAAUCUAUCAUGUGACUGUAUGUGAUGGGGUAGGCCCAGUUCCUGGGUCAAUAACAGCAAGGUCAUGGGUCAGAGGAAUCAGUUCAUUGUAAACAGUCAAUGUUUUUCACAAAAGAAUUGUAUCCUCAGGGCCAAACAUGUUCAAACAUUUGCUAGCUUAAAACAUCCACAAACCCUUUUAAACUGUUUAAACCUCUACUGUUUUUAUAAGCUUGCUUGUCUUCCUCUUAUAUUUUGGUGCAUUGUUACUUUUUGCGACAACUUACCUCCAUCAUGUGUCAGUAUACGUGAAACUGUUAGGGGGAUGGGGCUACUGUGUAUAAGUUUAGUUUUCAGUGUAUGUAAUUCGGCUUAUUGGCACAACUGAUGACUGACCUAAAUAUCUCUCACAGUCUCAUUUUGUACUCUGUUCUUGCACCCACAAAUAGUGUGCAUGUGCAUCAUUGUGCAUGUGCUAGUAAAACACAUUUAAAAAACCUCUGGGAUCCACUUAUCAAACUCACUGCUCUACAGCAGCAGUAGUGGUUAAAAACGACACCUUAAGGAAACUUGAGAUUGGGCCAGUCCUGGCUCUUCAGUGGCUUAUCACCAAGACUUUUCCUCUUUUGCAGGAUGGAAACAUCUGUUACGUUGCUGUGGGAAUAUUGAGCAUCAGGGAAACAAUGUAGGGUAGAAUCAGCUUGACCAACAGCUGUUGAACUCUAAAGUGCUUUCUCUCAGCCGUAGAGUGAAACAGACUGAAAUAAUGCAGACUUGAAUGGGCUCCCUGUUUCUGCCUUUUUUCUCUAGUUAUUCCCACUCAGCCUUUUAGGGAUCCUUGGCAACAGCAUGUAUUUAGAUGUGGAGCAAGACUGAGAGAAUGCAACUCCGUAAACAAUUCCACAUUAAUCCAUUUUAUCCAUGUCGUUCUCAGCCUCUAUGCAUACAAAUGCUUAAAAAAAUACACUGAUAAGAAAGCAGAAAUAUUUGUUGUGGAAUUAAUGGAGGGGGAAUAUGCCAAAGUAGUGACUGUGUGUGCAGAUUUAUCUGGAAUCAGGUUUUUCUGCUGAAAAGUCUUUAAAAGGAAAUGCAGAGAUCAAGGACCACAAAGAAAUACACGUCUUCUCUCUUGGCAGUGCCAGAAACACUUUCUCUCUAGAACCGUUCCACUUCCUCUGCUGGGCAGUUGAUGGGAUUUCAUACUGUUGGGAAAACUUGAGGAAUUAAUAUUACCAGUGUAUUUUGGCACACUGUAACGUGUUACAUGUAAAAUAGCAUUUAAACAUUAAAAGAAAAUACUGACAGCUUCAUAGCUUCAAAGCACAACAAAAUAAUAAUUUUAAUUAUAAUUUCAAUAGAAGAAACUAACAUUUACAUCUGUGUGAUACAUUUCUAGUUGCUUAAGCAUAACCUGUGCUUUGGCCCUUGGUUUCUUCUUCAAGAAUAACCAGAAUGCGAUGGUAAAGAAGAAAGUUUUAAUAGUAAACACUGACAGCAAGUCAAGAAACAGGGAACUAUGAACCUAUCAAACUCUUACCCACUGCCUCAAUGAGAGUUAAAAGUGAUUUUCCUCUAUAACCUCUUUAGUCUUAAAAACUCUGAAGUGUGUUUCACCACAGAGAACAGCAGCUGUACUCAGCUUGAAUUCAUCUGUUUCAAUGGCUACCUUAGGUGACAAGUUUUCACACCACAAAGUAUCAAAACAUGCAAAGGAAUUUCUCGAACUGCUCCUGCAGCAUAAUCAAUUUCUCCACUGUCCACCUGCAUGUUAAAUUUAUUCCAAGCACUAAUUGUUUCGCUAAAAUAUGGCUAAAUACAGUACUUUCAGUAGAAUUUUGAAAAGGGCGAUGGCUUGACACAAAAGCACUGCAUUUAUUUUAAUGAAAUGAACAGACUGAGUAUUGAUAGACAGGGUUUCUGUUGACCAGAGCUGUAGACUUGUACUCAAAGUCAGAUUUAAGUCACAAAAAUUAGGACUUGACUCAUGACUUGCAAGCAAAAUAUUAAUGCCUCAGGUCCAACUUUGCAUCACCACACGGUGUGAAUAUUUAAUUAUUAAGCUUAUGCAAUGAAAGGACUUGGUCUCAGCUAUGCAAAAAUCACUAUUAACAGAGCUUUGGAAGAAGAAUUUUCAAAUACCAUGGCAUUUUAAAAGUCAGCAUUGAGAGACCUGAAAGCCUUGUAACUAACUUACUGAUGUUGAGACUGAACUUUUCCUCAAGGAACUGAGACUUUACUUUACAAAAGACUUUUAAAAAAGGCACUGCUUUUGAUGUUUUGAUACUUUUUUUCCACCAUGAAAACGUUUAAUUAAAGGUUUAUGAAUUAACCUAUGUAGGUUGAAACACCAGAUUUUUACAGUUUUUACCGUCGAACAUAUAUCUUUAUGACAGAUUACAUAACUGCAAAACUAUAUUGCUCCAAAAUGAUUAUUGCUACUCUGGCUAUCUGGGUGCAUACACUGACUACACCCAUUCUUUCAGGUGCAACUGGUAUUUCACAGUAUUCCUCUUGGCUUAAACACUUCAGUAGUGAGUCUGGGCAGCUCAAGGCCUGCGAGUUGUAAUGUAUUCAUAUUUAUGUUUUAAACACUAACUUAGUAUAAGCCCACUACUAUAUGUACCUCUAAUGUAUAUCCCAUUCCAUGAGCAGUGCAACAGUUUCAGCGGUGCCUCAGCCAAGCUGAACACAAUGCUGCCAUUGAACUAGAGUAACAGUGGAUACAUUUAUAUACCAUCAAGAGUGACAGUUAACGCAGCAGCACCUGGGUUUCACUUAAAAGUGAUAGGCCAUAUUAAUGCAGUUACAUACGUACAUCUUAUAUAUCAGUUGUCACCAAAAUCAUCAACAUACACAAAUCUCACAACUAAUACCUUUAAAAGGGCAAGGUCUUAAUAUUUCUGGUGAUUUUAUUUAUCUGAGUUGGGAAGUGAUUAAAACAACUCCUUUGCACAAGCAUUUUGUUUGUGUGUCCAUGAACACAUCUGUCUGAAAUCAAUGUAUCAGCUCUGACUCUGGCAGCCCUGGGAAAUACAUUACUACAACACUUGUAUGUUGAAGACACAUGUAGGUAUCUGAAGCAAGAUAUAAUUCUUCUAUAGCGUGACACCGCUCAUUUUAUAUAACCAAAUGAAGAUUAUAUAUCCAUCUUAAUUGGCCUCUUUUUUAAGGUAUAUUGUAGUGACGCCUAAAUUACAUUACAAGAGAAUUGCUUUAAAAAUGGCUUUUGGCUAAAUACAUCAAAGAUCAUUCUGUAUUUUCACACUGUGUGCUUUUGGGAAGAUAUGAAUAAGCCACGAAAUGCAAUCCCAGAUUCACUUCACCUGAGUCAGAUAUGUAAAGCCCUAUGAAAUCACAUCAGGUUUAAUCUAAAGUGAUUCUAUAAGUUGUCUAAGUCUAGUGCAGAUCUAUCAAACUACAAACCAGGUUGAACUAGGCAGAAUUAAGCACUGGCCUUAUAAACCCUAUGAACAGAAACAUCCUCUCUUU
Molecule: long non-coding RNA, 4408 nt
Organism: Siniperca chuatsi (mandarin fish)
Lineage: Eukaryota; Metazoa; Chordata; Actinopteri; Centrarchiformes; Sinipercidae
Exons: 3
Source: RefSeq, a predicted model, not a curated record